CUAAUUAGACGAUAAGACCCUAUAGAGCUUUAUAUAUGUAUGCUGUUAAGUAUUAAAAUUUUUAUUAGUUAAUAACCAGGUUGUAUAUUUUAUUGGGGCAAUAAAAGAAUAAAAUUAACUUCUUAUUAAUAAAUUUUAUUUAAUUAAUUAACUUUUAGUAUAAAAUUUAAUAGAAGUUACCUUAGGGAUAACAGCGUUAUUAAAGUUGAGAGUUCUUAUCGACACUUUAGAUUGCGACCUCGAUGUUGAAUUAAAAAUUCUUUGAGGGGCAGCAUUUUUAUUAGAUGGUCUGUUCGACCAUUAAAUUUUUACAUGAUUUGAGUUCAAACCGGUGUGAGCCAGGUUGGUUUCUAUCUUUUAG
RNAcentral lists this non-coding RNA (361 nucleotides) under Folsomia candida. Its description in RNAcentral is "Archaeal large subunit ribosomal RNA". It matches the Rfam family "Archaeal large subunit ribosomal RNA", at positions 2149 to 2717 of the family's 2987-position model. The record is from Rfam by way of RNAcentral. Lineage: Eukaryota; Metazoa; Arthropoda; Collembola; Entomobryomorpha; Isotomidae.